This 70-nucleotide transfer RNA is filed under the name Macrotermes sp. B TB-2017. RNAcentral's name for it is "tRNA-Gln". RNAcentral also lists the same sequence under 1 other name. Lineage: Eukaryota; Metazoa; Arthropoda; Insecta; Blattodea; Termitidae. The record is from RNAcentral.
UACAUCUUGGUGUAUGGUGCACGUUAGCUUUUGAUGCUUGGUGGUGAUAGUUUGAUUCUAUUUGAUGUAA